GAGCUCACCAAAAGAUCGUCAGGGACCAGACCAGCAUGUGCCUGGAGCUCGUGUUUUAUUCAUCUUCGUGUUCCCGUGAAUUAUACAGUGCAAAAACUGCUUAGAAGGCUUCCCCUCCUAGACAGCCCAACAGCACCUCAACCUCAGCCGGAAUGAAACUGAAUGUGUUACUGCGCACCCAAACAGAGCUUCUCUUCCUGCUUUCUCUCUCCUGG
RNAcentral lists this long non-coding RNA (215 nucleotides) under Homo sapiens (human). Its description in RNAcentral is "HSALNT0337976". Lineage: Eukaryota; Metazoa; Chordata; Mammalia; Primates; Hominidae. The record is from RNAcentral.